RNAcentral lists this ribosomal RNA (459 nucleotides) under uncultured bacterium. RNAcentral's name for it is "partial 16S ribosomal RNA". It matches the Rfam family "Bacterial small subunit ribosomal RNA", at positions 338 to 795 of the family's 1533-position model. The record is from RNAcentral.
CCUACGGGAGGCAGCAGUGAGGAAUAUUGGUCAAUGGGCGGAAGCCUGAACCAGCCAAGUAGCGUGCGGGAUGAAGGCCCUAUGGGUUGUAAACCGCUUUUGCACGGGGAUAACACCCUCCACUUGUGGAGGUCUGCAGGUACCGUGCGAAUAAGGGCCGGCUAAUUCCGUGCCAGCAGCCGCGGUAAUACGGAAGGCCCGAGCGUUAUCCGGAUUCAUUGGGUUUAAAGGGAGCGUAGGCGGGCGUUCAAGUCAGCUGUAAAAUCGCGGGGCUCAACCGCGCCGCGCAGGUGAAACUGGACGACUUGAGUACAGAAGAGGCAGGCGGAAUGCGUGGUGUAGCGGUGAAAUGCAUAGAGAUCACGCAGAACCCCGAUUGCGAAGGCAGCCUGCCGGGGUGCGACUGACGCUGAGGCACGAAGGUGCGGGUAUCAAACAGGAUUAGAUACCCCGGUAGUC